UUAUGCACCACAAGAACACAAAAGCAGAUUUAUUGAAUAGAUAAAUCUACUUGUUCACAGCUAUCUCACAAACAUUACAGCUUCCAAAACUUUACUUUUUACCCCAAUCAGCACCCCAAUAAUUAAUACAAAGCAUAAAGGAAAUUAAGUGAUCAAUAUAACACAUAUCAUCAUAAUUAGUAGGGAAAAUUUCUGUUCUUUUCUUUUUCCCCUUAAAGAAAUGGACUAGAAAAGCUACAGUCCAAUAAGUUUCUUACAGGCUCUAAGGAUUCUUCUUCUGCUACUCUUUCUCUUCACAGAUCUUGCUGUUGUUUCCAUUGAACCAUCGCCUUCUUCAUGAUGUGUAGGUGAUGGUAGAGCUGCAUAUUGGUCAUGGAUCCUACAAUACCUUUCAGAAACUGAGGAUGAUCUUUUCAUGGAGAAGGCUUUCUUAACAGCAGAAUGAAAUGCACAAGCUGAAGAAACUGAAGAGUUCCUCUUCAGCUUAGAACUACUAAACAUCUCUGCAUUGUUUUCUUCAUCAUCUUCUGCUUGUAGCCAUGUAAGUGAAUCCUGCAGGUUCUUGAUGUUGGUGGUGAUGAUGGUUUUAGUAGUGUUGGGAUUCUUGAAGCUCUGGUGGCUGGUUUCUUGGGGUUUUGUUUCUAAUUCUGUGUUAUUGGGUUUUUUGGGUAUUGGAGAAGUUAAAGGACAUGAAAGGUCCAUGGAUCUUGAACUGGUAGAGCCAAUGAUUUUGAUCUUGGAAUACCCUUU
This 750-nucleotide unclassified non-coding RNA is filed under the name Hevea brasiliensis (rubber tree). The record is from RNAcentral. Lineage: Eukaryota; Viridiplantae; Streptophyta; Magnoliopsida; Malpighiales; Euphorbiaceae.